AAAGCGUCAUACGUCGAAGGGUUAGCGGCUCACGACGGCCCCGAGUCGUGCGGCGGCGCCCGCGAGGACGUCGUCGAAGCGUUGACAGGGCUGCGCGCAGCCUGGGUGUUCAGCCGCGAAAGGGACCAUCCUCCGGGGUGCCGACGCCGUCGGGAGAUGCGGAAGGCAACAUCCGGGGUGCCGCUAUCGCGAGGCACGGCGGGAGCCCGCGCGGUCAGAGACCC
Non-coding RNA from Planctomycetes bacterium SM23_25, 224 nucleotides. Lineage: Bacteria; Pseudomonadati; Planctomycetota. The record is from Rfam.